RNAcentral lists this ribosomal RNA (774 nucleotides) under uncultured Neocallimastigales. RNAcentral describes it as "partial large subunit ribosomal RNA". It matches the Rfam family "Eukaryotic large subunit ribosomal RNA", at positions 23 to 647 of the family's 3401-position model. The record is from RNAcentral. Lineage: Eukaryota; Fungi; Neocallimastigomycota; Neocallimastigomycetes; Neocallimastigales.
AGAGAUGUGUGAUGACGCAUAUCAAUAAGCGGAGGAAAAGAAACUAACAAGGAUUCCCUUAGUAACGGCGAGUGAAGCGGGAAGAGCUCAAAUUUGAAAUCUUCAAGGUUCUACCUUGACGAAUUGUAGUUUAUAGAAGUGUUUUCUGUUAGUAGAGUGGCAAAAGUUCUUUGGAAUAGGACAUCAUAGAGGGUGAGAAUCCCGUAUUUGGUCAUUCUUUCUAGCUUUGUGAUACACUUUCAACGAGUCGGAUUGUUUGGGAAUGCAGUCCAAAAUGGGUGGUAAAUUUCAUCUAAAGCUAAAUAUUGGCGAGAGACCGAUAGCGAACAAGUACCGUGAGGGAAAGAUGAAAAGAACUUUGAAAAGAGAGUUAAACAGUACGUGAAAUUGUCAAAAGGGAAGCGUUUGACACCAGUGUUGUUUUUCCGAAAAUCAAUUACGAAUGUUUUGUUUUUGAGAAGUUAUGACUUCAUCGGCUUGCUUCUCUCUUUACGAAACUUUCUUAAUGCACUUUUCGGUUAACAAGUCAACAUCAAUUUCUUUUGUUGUAAAAGGGUAUGAGGAAGGUGGCUCUCUUUUCGGAGAAAGUGUUUAUAGCCUUGUACCUCUGCAAUCGGAGAGAUUGAGGUCUGCAGCGUAGAUCCUUCGGGGUUAGAUACAUUUGUGCUAAGUUAUAGCUUUUCAUAGACAACUUGUUGACUAUGUUAAGUCUUGUAGCUUACUCGCUUAUGCUAUUUUACCUACGCUUAGGAUGUUGAUCUGUAGUGCGUGCGC